AAGACAGUACUGCUUACAGUCAGUUUUGCAGGUUUGCAUCCCAGCGUAUACAAAUUGCUGUGCAAAUCCAUGCAAAACUGAUUGUGAUGGUGUUUGCUAUCUU
Ornithorhynchus anatinus (platypus) is the source of this 103-nucleotide non-coding RNA. RefSeq annotates it as microRNA mir-19b-1. The transcript has a single exon. NCBI's taxonomy places the organism in Eukaryota, Metazoa, Chordata, Mammalia, Monotremata, Ornithorhynchidae. The record is from RefSeq and is marked provisional.